RNAcentral lists this unclassified non-coding RNA (1300 nucleotides) under Bombus terrestris (buff-tailed bumblebee). RNAcentral's name for it is "misc RNA ENSBTSG00005034509.1". The record is from RNAcentral. Lineage: Eukaryota; Metazoa; Arthropoda; Insecta; Hymenoptera; Apidae.
CGUCUCUACCUCACCGAAUCUACUUUGUUUCCGUUUAUCCUCUUUUCACACUUCACGGUUCCUUUCAAUCUGUAUCUAGCUCCUACUCCACCUCCACCUCUUCAUCACGCUCUCCACUGCCAUCAACUAUAUUUCUCCUACUCCUCCUUCACGUCUCUCCCAUCUUUAACUUCGUUUCGCUUUCUUGUUGCUCGCGCCUCUGUCCGUCACUUCAGUUACAUCGCCUGGUCUCAUUUCAUCGCCCCGUCUCUCCACCACCACCAUCACCACCAUCACCAAUUUAUAUUCGUAGAUUCGUAGGCGCGUACGUUAGGCUACCUAGACAUUCUCUGGUCAUCGAGGUGCGCACGGUCAUAAUUUCUCAGGUGCAGCCAACAAAUGUAAUCGGAUUCGAACGUUCCUUAUUGUGUAGGAAUAGAAAGGAAUUUUUUAACAUACACAAGUGAGUCACCUCGUUUCGAAGGAUAGAGAUCUUUCAUUUCUUUUGGUUUUCUUCAGAUAUCCCGAUUUAACUCAAACAUCCGCGAUUUAAUUAUUAUUUAUUUCGAAACUAAAGAAAAAGUGAACUAAAAAUUAUAAUCAACAUACUUUAUACGACAAAGAAAGUAGCUAAUCAAUUAACGAUACUACUAAAAAAUACAUAUAAUUUAAAAUUUAUAAUCUGCAUUAAAUAUACUACAUUUUUAUAAAAAAUGAAUUAAAUUAUCCUAAGACUUUUGAACAGCAACGUACAUGCCACUUCCUCGAAACAUUCUAGAUUCUUUCAACCAUCACUCAGCGGACGCUAACAACUUUCGAAUAGCUGACAAAAAAAUAUUUCAGUUCUAUAGACUAGAUCUUAAGCUCUCUAAUUCUUCACGCAGGAAGUCAUCGAGUUGCUCCUGAAAUCUCGAAAGGCGGGAUCUUGUUUCGCAAAGGUUAGGAUCCGCGGUAAGACCAAACUACGAGACAGACGUAUUAUUAUGUUAUUUUCAUAGCGGCCUAGUAAAUGGCAAUCGUGACAAGGCAUUGAAAAAAUCUGACGAAUGACAUAAAUCCUAUUGUAUUUAAGCGAUUACGAUCUGACGGAAGUCAGUCUUUGCUGACGGUAAAGUACGAGAUCGAUCAUCGGGUUUCGAGCGAUGUCAACGCUGAAGAUUAUUUACGCAGUGCACAGAUCCAUAUUCGUCGUGAUUGUAGUGCUUUCGAUCGUAAAGCAAGUUCGAAAUCAAGUAAACAAUGGAACACACACGGAUGACAACAAUAACGUGGAUCCUUACAAGAUUAUUGGGACCAGCGGUCGUCAAUAGUACUGUGAAAU